UCUGCACAUCCUCUCUUUGUCUAUUUCGCUGCCUCUUGCUUCCACCCUGGGAAGUGCACACAGAAUGCCAGUCACGGAGUGGGAGCAAGUGUGAGUUUGGUACUUAGGGCCAGCUCGGGGAAUCCCCAGGUGAGGUUUUCCUAGCUCUUGGCCAGACUUCCUGCUGGAGCCUCGAAGGCAAUUGGCAAGAUCAGUGUCACUUUAAGAUCAGUGUCUCUGAUAUUCUCAUCUCCCUCUCUCCCAAUCUCCCUUCUCGGACUCACAGAAUUCGUACGUUUAUGCUCUGGGUUGUGUGGGAGAGAAGGCCUUCUCUAGCAGUGUCCUGCACAAAUUGGGGAAGCCAGGCGCUCACUUGGUCUCCCUUUUUUUUCUCACGGGAGGAAUACCAGCUUUCUUUUUUUUUCUCUAAAGUGUGCCACCUUCUGGGAGGAAUAAUGCUUGCAACGUUCCUCCCACCCACUCCAAGGCAUCCAAACUCUUCUGGGUUGUUUUUUGUUUUUUCGCGCUGGAAUUUUCCUCCAUAAACCUGAACUUUCACGAAGGCCCUCUUGUCUGCAAAUAUCUGCCCAAGUCUGUGUUUUCCAGGCACCACGAGCAAAAGGGGUUGGAUCUGGUUCACAGGAUCCUGCUGGUUCCACUGGGGUCUAUCUGCCGAUUAUCCAGUUCACAGGUUCCGAGGCAUAUAUCUAAAGCACAGAUUCCAUUUCUCAACCGGCUGUGACCUUGAUCCAUGACCAAGCCCCUUGAGCAGAAUGUUUUCAUAUGAACAAGACCCUUGGUAAACUGUGGUCUGGAAGUAGACGAUUGUCCUGACAUAACAUCAGAAGGUCAGCAGUAGCCUAUCACUCCAUCUCCCUGCCUGCCUACAUCAUCCACCUCAGUUCAUCCCAUCACAUAGGCAUUUUAUCGUCUCAACCAUCACACGAGGAAGGAGACACCACAAGGCCAGGAACGCCAACAGGGGUGAACACAUGCUAACGAGCACACUGUCCAGGCAGUUUUCUUCAUUUCUGUGGCUGAAGGCUCCCUUCUUCCAGCUGGAUGCACCAGGUUGGGCGGGUUGAGAACGCU
Felis catus (domestic cat) is the source of this 1071-nucleotide long non-coding RNA. RefSeq lists it as uncharacterized. The record is from RefSeq and is a predicted model, not a curated record. The transcript has 4 exons. Lineage: Eukaryota; Metazoa; Chordata; Mammalia; Carnivora; Felidae.